AUUGAACGCUGGCGGCAUGCUUUACACAUGCAAGUCGAACGGCAGCACGGGCUUCGGCCUGGUGGCGAGUGGCGAACGGGUGAGUAAUGCAUCGGAACGUGCCCAUUUGUGGGGGAUAACUACGCGAAAGCGUGGCUAAUACCGCAUACGCCCUGAGGGGGAAAGCGGGGGAUUCUUCGGAACCUCGCGCAAUUGGAGCGGCCGAUGUCAGAUUAGCUUGUUGGUGAGGUAAAGGCUCACCAAGGCGACGAUCUGUAGCGGGUCUGAGAGGAUGAUCCGCCACACUGGGACUGAGACACGGCCCAGACUCCUACGGGAGGCAGCAGUGGGGAAUUUUGGACAAUGGGGGCAACCCGUGAUCCAGCCAUGCCGCGUGAGUGAAGAAGGCCU
Molecule: ribosomal RNA, 390 nt
Filed under: uncultured bacterium
Lineage: Bacteria
Description: bacterial SSU rRNA
Rfam family: Bacterial small subunit ribosomal RNA
Source: RNAcentral